Small nuclear RNA from Ictidomys tridecemlineatus (thirteen-lined ground squirrel), 65 nucleotides. Lineage: Eukaryota; Metazoa; Chordata; Mammalia; Rodentia; Sciuridae. The record is from Ensembl.
GUAUUUAUUUAUGACAUAAAAUAAAAUUGGAACGAUACAGAGAAUAUUAGCUUGACCCCUGUGUA